RNAcentral lists this ribosomal RNA (442 nucleotides) under uncultured bacterium. Its description in RNAcentral is "partial 16S ribosomal RNA". It matches the Rfam family "Bacterial small subunit ribosomal RNA", at positions 338 to 795 of the family's 1533-position model. The record is from RNAcentral.
CCUACGGGAGGCAGCAGUAGGGAAUCUUUCACAAUGGGCGAAAGCCUGAUGGAGCAACGCCGCGUGCAGGAUGAAGGCCUUCGGGUUGUAAACUGCUUUUAUAAGCGAGAAAUAUGAUGGUAACUUAUGAAUAAGGAUCGGCUAACUACGUGCCAGCAGCCGCGGUCAUACGUAGGAUCCGAGCAUUAUCCGGAGUGACUGGGUGUAAAGAGUUGCGUAGGUGGCAUAAUAAGUAGCUAGUGAAAUCUGGUGGCUCAACCAUUCAGACUAUUAGCUAAACUGUUAAGCUCGAGACCGUUAGGGGUAACUGGAAUGUCUAGUGUAGGAGUGAAAUCCGUAGAUAUUAGAAGGAACACCAAUAGCGAAGGCAGGUUGCUGGGACGGUUCUGACACUAAGGCACGAAAGCGUAGGGAGCAAACGGGAUUAGAUACCCGGGUAGUC